AUUGAACGCUGGCGGCAGGCCUAACACAUGCAAGUCGAACGGUAACAGGAAGCAGCUUGCUGCUUUGCUGACGAGUGGCGGACGGGUGAGUAAUGUCUGGGAAACUGCCUGAUGGAGGGGGAUACUACUGGAAACGGUAGCUAAUACCGCAUAACGUCGCAAGACCAAAGAGGGGGACCUUAGGGCCUCUUGCCAUCGGAUGUGCCCAGAUGGGAUUAGCUAGUAGGUGGGGUAACGGCUCACCUAGGCGACGAUCCCUAGCUGGUCUGAGAGGAUGACCAGCCACACUGGAACUGAGACACGGUCCAGACUCCUACGGGAGGCAGCAGUGGGGAAUAUUGCACAAUGGGCGCAAGCCUGAUGCAGCCAUGCCGCGUGUAUGAAGAAGGCCUUCGGGUUGUAAAGUACUUUCAGCGGGGAGGAAGGGAGUAAAGUUAAUACCUUUGCUCAUUGACGUUACCCGCAGAAGAAGCACCGGCUAACUCCGUG
RNAcentral lists this ribosomal RNA (489 nucleotides) under uncultured bacterium. Its description in RNAcentral is "partial 16S ribosomal RNA". It matches the Rfam family "Bacterial small subunit ribosomal RNA", at positions 30 to 507 of the family's 1533-position model. The record is from RNAcentral.